RNAcentral lists this ribosomal RNA (408 nucleotides) under uncultured bacterium. RNAcentral's name for it is "partial 16S ribosomal RNA". It matches the Rfam family "Bacterial small subunit ribosomal RNA", at positions 29 to 526 of the family's 1533-position model. The record is from RNAcentral.
AGUGAACGCUGGCGGCGUGCCUAAUACAUGCAAGUCGAACGGAGUGGCUCACGGGUGAGUAAUGUAUAGCUAAUCUUCCCUACACUAGAGGACAACAGUUUGAAACGACUGCUAAUACUCUAUAGUGUCAGAUGAGGGUAUAUUGUAUCAGUUAGUUGGUGAGGUAAUGGCUCACCAAGGCUAUGACGCAUAACUGGUCUGAUAGGAUGAGCAGUCACACUGGAACUGAGACACGGUCCGGAAUCCUACGGGAGGCAGCAGUAGGGGAUAUUGCUCAAUGGGGGAAACCCUGAAGCAGCAACGCCGCGUGGAGGAUGACACGUUUCGGAGCGUAAAAUCCUUUUGUUAGGGAAGCGGUACCUAACGAAUAAGCACCGGCUAACUCCGUGCCAGCAGCCGCGGUAAUUC